This 642-nucleotide long non-coding RNA is filed under the name Oreochromis niloticus (Nile tilapia). Its description in RNAcentral is "lncRNA (ENSONIG00000041064.1)". The record is from RNAcentral. Lineage: Eukaryota; Metazoa; Chordata; Actinopteri; Cichliformes; Cichlidae.
AGUGCGCAGGGGGAAGCCAAAUUAUGUUCCUGAGGUUGAAGUGGUCUGUCACCCCUUCACAGAUCAUCACACAAUGUAUAGCCUAAUAUUUUCUUAAAGUUGUCCGGAUUUGUUGCCACUUAAGCUAUGGUUUAAAUAUAUGGUAAAAAAUAUUCUGUGCCCCCUUCUCUCCACCAGGUGCUGUUGUAAGACAUGUUGCUGAAAGUGAAAUACCUCAAUGUAAAGAAGUACAUUAAAUUGCACGCAGGAUUCACUUAUCUAGAAUUCAUCAGUGAAGCCAAAACCAAGUUUGGACUUCCGGAUGCUGCUGACCUUGAUAUUUUCGAUGAAACUGACACAGCUGUCGAAGAAGACAUUUUUCUGGAGUUACUGGAGGCCCAACCAGACCUAUGCCUGACAAUACGUGAAAAGAUUUCAGAUGAAGAUUUUUGUCCUUUAGCUCAUUCCACACCAUCCUCCUCGGAUACAUUAUCUUCCCUCACGGACACUAUAUCACUUUCAUCAAGUGACAGUGACCUCAGGGAAAAGGGCAUUCCUGCAGGCCGCAGUAGAUCCAGCAAAGACAGUUCUGCACCAAAUGUUUCUGUGUCAGAGGCUGCAAAAGAGGUAAUUGAGAACAGAAAAUGUCUUUUGUAUUUUUGA